UACGUAGGGGGCAAGCGUUGUCCGGAUUUAUUGGGCGUAAAGAGCGUGUAGGCGGCCAUACAGGUCCGUUGUGAAAACUCGAGGCUCAACCUCGAGACGUCGAUGGAAACCGUCGGGCUAGAGUCCGGAAGAGGAGAGUGGAAUUCCUGGUGUAGCGGUGAAAUGCGCAGAUAUCAGGAGGAACACCCGUGGCGAAAGCGGCUCUCUGGGACGGUACUGACGCUGAGACGCGAAAGCGUGGGGAGCGAACAGG
RNAcentral lists this ribosomal RNA (253 nucleotides) under uncultured bacterium. Its description in RNAcentral is "partial 16S ribosomal RNA". It matches the Rfam family "Bacterial small subunit ribosomal RNA", at positions 524 to 776 of the family's 1533-position model. The record is from RNAcentral.